Molecule: long non-coding RNA, 3805 nt
Filed under: Panax ginseng (ginseng)
Lineage: Eukaryota; Viridiplantae; Streptophyta; Magnoliopsida; Apiales; Araliaceae
Description: long non-coding RNA (PGIN_LNC000222)
Source: RNAcentral
GAAUCUGUUAAACAAUUGGAUUUGUUAUACCUCCAUGUUGAAGUAGGCAAAAAGAAUGAACAACAUAUAUUAUCUUGUUACAGAAUAAAAGUGAGAUUCUUAAAGUUUUCCUACUUUUUACCUCCAGAAAGUCAUCCAAAGAAUGAAGAUAUGGCCACAAAACAGUAGCAAAUGUUCCUGACACAACCAAACCCAAUUUUAAUACCUCAAGAUAUGGGUUUCGAUGCCUUAUACAAUUACCCAAGAGAUGGCUACAAAGUGCUAGCGCAAAAUAAGCACUCAUCUGCACAACAUAAGAAAAAUUCAUCCUCCAAAAUCAGAUCAACAAGGUGCGUAGACAGUAGAUGUCAGAAAAUCAUUAUGAAACUAUAGAUUUUUUCUAUAGUUAAGACAUCAAUGAAUAAGGUCAUUUUCUUGUUAAUUUACUUAUGUUCCAAUGUAAGACAGUCGCUCCAUACAGAUGUUUUCCUAUAAUGGGAUGUGACUGCUAAUAGCAUUCCAUGUUUAUUAAGCUCAUUCUCUUACAACUUAAGACUUAAUUAGUGAUUUUUAUCGUAUCAAUGUUGAACAAAUGAACUAUAACAAUUUAAUGAUUUUAUUACAAAUUGUGGACUGCCGAAGCAAUUAAGAAAGAAAAAAUGAAAGGUGAGCUAGUAACGUGUAUGUAUCCAUGUUAAAUGAAAAAACAUGUUUAUGGUUGAGAGCAAGACUGAACAGGAUAGAACCAACAAGAUUUUUGCUAGAGAGAAUGGCGGCAAUAGCUCCAACAGUAAGGCCCGGGCUAAUACAAUUAUACUAACAAGGAAAAAACAAAUGGCUAAGAACUCUAGACUUCUACCAUCAUAAAUAAUAUAUAAAUUAAGACAACAAUCAUAACUUCGAUUUUUGCCUAUCCCCCCCAAAAAAGUCAUAACUCCAACAGAAAUAAUACCUGAAAGUGACCAUGAUCAAUCAGGAUGAGGCAUGGGCCGAGUAAAAUUAUUGCAAUGUGUCAUGCUACAUUACUUGUAUGUCCUCUUGGGUUGUCUAGAAUAACAUGCAAUGACAAAACAAAGAACUGCAGGAAAGAAUAACAUGGCAUACAUAUACAAAAUUUAAAUUAAAAUAUCUAAGAAUGGAAUUUCUCAUGCCUAGAAAUCACAAAAUUAGAAUGGAAUUUCAUGAAUCAUGUUUCAAAAAAUAAGGAUCCGCAGGCUUCACAAAUUAGGUCUUCACAUUACCUCAGACCUUGUUUUUUGUGCAAUUAGUACUACCUCUUUUAAAUUUUAAUAAUAAUAUUGUCCUGUAACAGCAAUGUAAGACCCCAACUUUUAUGAAUAAAAAUUAAUUUUUUUCGAAAUAUAUUUUUGAAUAUUAUGGUGUGGAUUUGAUAAAAUGUUAUAGUUGUGGGUAAUAUUUAUAAAUUUUGCAAAGUAAGCAAGUUGUUAUAAAAUAUUCGAUUGGUCAGGGAAUAUUCGUUUUAAUAGUGAAUAUUCGUACGAUGACACAAUCACUAGUGGACCCCACAACGGAAUUAAUAUCGAAGUUAGAAAACGACAAAAUAUUUUUUUUAUAAAAAUAACGGCGAAAGUUUUACCGUUAAACUAUUGAAAUACCCGGUGGUAAAAGUACAAUAAUGCGCAUAAUUGCAUAGUAGCACACAGUAUUGAUUAUUGAUGCUUACGUGAGAAGUCAAUCAGUUAUACUCAAUUACUGCUACAGUAAUUACUGCAUAAUAUCUAUCAUAUUAUUGAUUUAAUUAUUUUCAUAGUAUCAUCUGUAUAAUAUUUUAUAUUAUUAAAUCAAUAAUUGAGACGACAAAGUUGUUCAUAUUAUUAUUUGCAUUAUUGAUGAUGUCUAGAAAGUUCUAUCGAGGAAAGGGGUUUGGUCACCUAAUUCCGCACCAAAAGGGAGAAAUCUUUAUCGGAAAGCCCCCUCUUUCUUAGGAAUGAUCUGGUUAUUAAAUAUUGUGAGUUAUAAUAUUAAUGAUGAAUAAGUUCGUGUUGAUUAAAGAUGAAAUUAUUGAUAAAAAAUAUUUCCAUUGUGUUGGGAUUAUUAGUGUUAGCGGAAAUCAACAUUUAUUUCGAUAAUAAUUGAUUUCUAGAUGUUAAAUUGACCAAACGAGAAAUUAAUCGGAUAAAUGAGCAAUUAAUUGUUAUUAGUUCACAUGCAAAUUACUUUUGGUUCACAUGUAUGGAACUAUUGAUUCACAUGCAUGUACUAUUAGGGAAGGUGGUGUAAGAUUGAUAAUACUUGAAGGACUAAAUUAAAAAUAGAGGUAUAGAUGAAGGUACUAUACUGUAAUAAUUCGAGCCCCUAAUCGUGCAAUUAUCGAAACUAUGUUUAACUAUAAAUAGAAGUUCAUUCUUCUUUCAUUCUCACCAAUUCACUAAGACUCACAAGAGCAUUUAUAGAGAGAGAAGCUAUAGAGAGAAAGAAGACGAGUAUUCUGCUACUUCACUAUUGCAGUAUCUAGCCUUCUAAGGUAAGGAAUAUUAUUUUUGUUCAAUAUUCGUAUGAAAUAAUAUUUUCUUUCAUACUCUAUAGUAUGUAGGUAAUAUUAUUUCGUUUCGUAUUCCUAAUUCUACACUCAUUCUGUUAAAGUAUUGCUUCUAUACUCCGUGAAAUUAGUAGAAUAUCCUUGAAAUUUGCGCUUCAUCUAGUAUCGUUUCACAAGGAUAUUUUUUUGAAUAUUCUUGUUAAAUUUUAAACUUUUCAUGUCAAAGUACUAUUCACAAGAUACUAUUCACAAAAUACUAUUCAUGAGAUACUAUUCAUAAAGUACUAUUCACGAGGUAUUAUUCAUAAGUACUAUUCACGGGGUACUAUUCACGAAGUACUAUUCAUGAAGUACUAUUCAUGGGUUACUAUUCACUCGGGUUCUAUUCACUCGGGGUACUAUUCAUGACAAAAAUUAAUUUUUUUUCUGUUCAAAUUAUUUUUGAUACAAUAUUAUUCUUGAAUUUUACUCCACAAAGCAGUAUCAUGUUUACAAUUUGGACAUUAUUAAAUUCUGGAUAAAUUAAAUUAUAAAUCUUUAAAAGUUUAUCAUUUUCUUUCUUUUAAUUAAAUUCUUAUAUCAUUGUCAUCAUCCUCAUGCUUAUAUUAUAAUUGGUCGUAGUGCAUAGAUCGACUGUUGAUUGGUAUGAUUAUGACCAUAGAUUAUUCGGUAUAAUCAUGACCCGUAAUGUUACAAAUGUUGUGGUAAAAGUUCUCAUUGGCCCGUAGUGCAUUGAUGGACAGUUGUUGACAUGACCAUGACCAUUGGUGAUUACACGAAUAUCCUUGGCCCGUAGUGGAUGGAUAAUUCGUGGACGUGAUACUAAUGAAUAGCCUUGACCCGUAGUGCAUGGAUAAUUCAGUGAUGUGGAUUAUUUAUUGAGUUGAGUCUCUGUGAUAAAGUUGAUGAUAAACUUUUUAAAUCAUAGAAGAUAGUAGAUAUCAUGCUCUACUUGACUCUUCUAAUGGAUUGCUUGUUCCGCUGCAGUUAAACUUGUUGUUUAUUAGUUUAACACUGUUGAAAGCUAAUGAUAAUUUAUUCUGCAUUAUCUUAGUCAUAAUAUUUCUUACUGGGCUAGUUGAGCUCACCCUUUUGCUUUCAUUGUUCUCUUCAGGAAAUAAGAACGUAGCCGGAACUAGUCGGGGAACGGAGUGAUGGUCCAGAUGGUGACUAUAGUAGUCCUCACUAUUCUAUGAAAUAGUGUGAUAAUAAAUGUAAUGAGGACUCCAUUUGAGUUUGAAUACUGUCUAGAAGACAAUAUUCGUGUAAAAACUCUCAGCUACAUUUUGUCAUAUUGUAUAAAAGAAGUUUUUAUUUUAUUUCUAU